RNAcentral lists this ribosomal RNA (1453 nucleotides) under bacterium. RNAcentral's name for it is "bacterial SSU rRNA". It matches the Rfam family "Bacterial small subunit ribosomal RNA". The record is from RNAcentral.
GACCGGCGGCGUGCUAUCAUGCAAGUCGAGCGAAGGAGCAGGAGCUUGCUCCUGUGUUCACCGGCGAACGGGUGAGUAACACGUGGGCAACCUGCCCCGGACACUGGGAUAACCCCUGGAAACGGCGUCUAAUACUGGAUAAUCACCAAGGAUAAAUUUCCUCUUUUGGAAAAUAUUUUUCGGCUGGCACUGGGCUAUGAGCCCGCCGCGUUGUUGGUGAUUGGUGAGGUCACGGCUGACCCAGGCGACAAUGCGUCUGCGACCUGGAACGGUGAUCCGGCACCUGGGAACUGACACACACUCCAAACUCCUACAGGAGGGAGCAAUAUGGAAUCUUGGGCAAUGGCCUGAAGCCUGACCGACCCACGCCGCGUGACCGACUAAGGCCUUCAGACCUCUUUUAUCUGGUGUUAAACAAAAACGACUACGACAGUAACUGCUCGGACCUUGACCGACCCUAACCCAAACGCCACGGUUAACUACGUGCCAGCGUCCUCGGGAAUACUUGGGUGGAAAGAGUUCUCAGGAAUUAUGGCGCGUCUGCUGCGCGCACGCGAGCUCUUACCUCUGAUGUGAAAUGCCACCGCUCAACCUAGAAUGGUCAUUGGAAACUGGGAGAUUUGGGUGCAGGAGAGAAAUGCGCAAUUCCACGUGUAAACAGUUGAAAUGCGUAGAUGAUGUGGAGGAACACCAGUGGCGAAGGCAGAUCUCUGGCCUGUAACUGACGCUGAGGACGCGAAAGCGUGGGGAGCAAACAGGAUUAGAUACCUGGUAGUCACGCCGUAAACGAUGAGUGCUAGGUGUUGGGGCGGUUCCACGGUCAGUGUUGAAGUUAACACAUUAAGCACUCCGCCUGGGGAGGAGUACCGCAAGGUUGAAACUCAAAGGAAUUGACGGGGGGCCGCACAAGCAGUGGAGCAUGUGGUUUAAUUAGAAGCAACGCGAAGAACCUUCUCAGCUCUUGACAUCAUUUGGACGAUAUAUAGAUAGACAUUUCCCCUUCGGGGGAUAAAGUCACAGGUGGCACAGGGUUGUUCUCAGCUCGUGUUGUGAGAUGGUGGGAUAAGUCCCGCAAAGAGCGCACCCCUUUACAUUAGUUCCCCGCAUUCAGUUGGGCACUCUAAGGAGACUGCCGGGGUCAAACCGGAGGAAGGUGGGGAUGACGUCAAAUCAUCAUGCCCCUUAUGUCCUGGGCUACACACAUGCUACAAUGGAUGAUACAAAGGGUUGCGAAGCCGUGAGGCCAAGCCAAUCCCAAAAAGUCAUUCUCAGUUCGGAUUGUAGUCUGCAACUCGCCCUCAUGAAGUCGGAAUUGCUAGUAAUCGCGGAUCAGCAUGGCGGGGUGAAUUCGUUUCCGGGCUUUUUUCCCCCCCCCCCUUCCACCCCGAGAGUUUGUUACCCCCGAAGUCGGUGGGGUUACCCUUUGGGAGGCAGCCGCCGAAGUGAUCAAUUG